UACGGAGGGGGCUAGCGUUGUUCGGAAUUACUGGGCGUAAAGCGCACGUAGGCGGCUUUGUAAGUUAGAGGUGAAAGCCCAGGGCUUAACCCUGGAAUUGCCUUUAAGACUGCAUCGCUAGAAUUGUGGAGAGGUAAGUGGAAUUCCGAGUGUAGAGGCGAAAUUCGUAGAUAUUCGGAAGAACACCAGUGGCGAAGGCGACUUACUGGACACAUAUUGACGCUGAGGUGCGAAAGCGUGGGGAGCAAACAGG
This 253-nucleotide ribosomal RNA is filed under the name uncultured bacterium. RNAcentral describes it as "partial 16S ribosomal RNA". It matches the Rfam family "Bacterial small subunit ribosomal RNA", at positions 524 to 776 of the family's 1533-position model. The record is from RNAcentral.